RNAcentral lists this small RNA (543 nucleotides) under Pongo abelii (Sumatran orangutan). RNAcentral's name for it is "retained intron". Lineage: Eukaryota; Metazoa; Chordata; Mammalia; Primates; Hominidae. The record is from RNAcentral.
CUUUGAUGAUGACAGUGUUAAUCCUGCUGCUGCUCCCCACGGGUCAGGCUGCCCCAAAGGAUGGAGUCAUAAGGCCAGACUCUGAAGUACAGCAUCAGCUCCUGCCCAACCCCUUCCAGCCAGGCCGGGAGCAGCUCGGGUGAGUAGGGUGGGCUGGGGGUGCUUUCAGGAAGACCAGGCCUGGGGCUGCAGACUCACCUCUCCCGCGCUGAUUCUUCACUUUUCUGACAGACUUCUGCAGAGCUACCUAAAGGGACUGGAAAGGACAGAAGUGCAGCCGGAGCAUCUGAGCCGGGAGCAGGGUGAGGGGCUGGGCUGAUGGGGCCAGGGACAGGAGGCUCCGGGCAGCCAGAUCUGGGACUAAUCUUGGCUGCCCCAUUGACUCCUGCCUUCUCCACCUCCCCCGGCACCUCUUCUAAUCCAGCUUCUCUUCUCUAGUUCUUCUCUACCUCUUUGCCCUCCAUGACUAUGACCAGAGUGGACAGCUGGAUGGCCUGGAGCUGUUGUCCAUGUUGACAGCUGCUCUGGUCCCUGGAGAUGCCA